AACGAACGCUGGCGGCAUGCCUAACACAUGCAAGUCGAACGAGACCUUCGGGUCCAGUGGCGUACGGGUGCGUAACGCGUGGGAAACUGCCCUUAGGUUCGGAAUAACUCCCCGAAAGGGGUGCUAAUACCGGAUAAUGUCUUCGGACCAAAGAUUUAUCGCCUUUGGAUGGGCCCGCGUUGGAUUAGCUAGUUGGUAGGGUAAAAGCCUACCAAGGCGACGAUCCAUAGCUGGUCUGAGAGGAUGAUCAGCCACACUGGAACUGAGACACGGCCCAGACUCCUACGGGAGGCAGCAGUGGGGAAUAUUGGACAAUGGGCGAAAGCCUGAUCCAGCAAUGCCGCGUGAGUGAUGAAGGCCUUAGGGUUGUAAAGCUCUUUUACCCGGGAUGAUAAUGACAGUACCGGGAGAAUAAGCUCCGGCUAACUCCGUG
RNAcentral lists this ribosomal RNA (433 nucleotides) under uncultured bacterium. RNAcentral describes it as "partial 16S ribosomal RNA". It matches the Rfam family "Bacterial small subunit ribosomal RNA", at positions 29 to 507 of the family's 1533-position model. The record is from RNAcentral.